UAAUAUAAAUAGUAUUGCCUUAUUUUAAAAGGAAAUUCUAUAACUAAGGAUAUGUAUUUUUAUGAGUGUUGAGGAAAACACAUCAACUUCUUAACAUUAGUUAUCUCAGGGAUCUGGAGUUGGUGAAGGGGAGAAAUACAGGGUAUUAAGUUUUUAAAAUACAUUCUCAAGUAAUUUGAGCAAUUGGUAAAGUAAAUCCAAUCACUAAAAAAAUUAAGCCUGGAGUUCCCGUCGUGGCUCAGUGGAAACGAAUCCAACUAGGAAUCAUGAGGUUGCGGGUUCCUAGUUGGCCUCGCUCAGUGGGUUAGUGGGUUAAGGAUCCAGCGUUGCUGCGAGCUGUGGUGUAGGUGCAGAUGGGUCUAAUCAGAGCUGUUGCUGCCAGCCUACACCAGAGCCACAGAACACGGGGUCCAAGUUGCAUCUGCAACCUACGCUACAGUUCACGGCGAUGCCGGAUCCUCACCCCACUGAGUGAAGCCAGGGAUCGAACCCGCAACCUCAUGGUUCCAAGUUAGGUUCAUUAACCACUGAUGAACCCAACUUGGAACCAUGAUGGGAACUCCUCCAUUGUUCUUUCUUAACUAGUAUUAUAACCUUAUAAAUUAGGAAGUGUUUCUCUAGUUCUUAGGAGGGAAACAGUGGCUCAGAGAGUUCAGUCACAUGGCCAGGGUCACAGUGCCAAUAAUUACAUCUCAUUCUAAUCCCCAUGAUAUUUCCACUUCAUCACAGGUUUAUGUGUUUAGAAUGCCAUUCCUCAGAUUAAGUACACUAAGCCUUCAUUUCUCAAACUGUGUGCUAAGGCACCCCAGAGUGCUGCAGCUAACUCACAAAGGCUUUUUAUUUUUUUUUUUUUUCAAGAAAAACUCAGUGAUAUUCAAACAUCUUUCAGACACUGUGUCAACUAGUAGUUCUGCAUAGUUCAUAGUUUCAAUAGUAGAUCACACUACACUUCUGAUGUCACAUCUUUGCAAAGCUAGUAUUUUUAUUUAAAUAUCAGCACCAGGUGUGUGGAAGGAGGAGGUUUAUGGGAACUCCCCGUAUUGCCUACCCAAUUUUGCUGUGAUCCUAUAACUUUAAAAAAUAAAGUCCACUACUGUUAUUCAUACUGAGAAUGACAUACAGCCUAUGAUAUAUCACUCCUUUUGCCUGUGCCAAACAAUUCAUCACUUAAUUUUGUUUGUUUAUAAUUGUUUUUUAUUAUUUAUAAUUUUUUCUCCUAAUCUGUACAAUAAAGCUCUUGAAGGAGUGAAUGUCCUAGGCUCUCGCAUGACAUAAAUUUGCUCUAAGUAUAGGAAAAUCUAGAUGGCUAUACACUUUACUGUUACUAAUGGUUGCUCUAGGGGAGUUCUUUUAUAUACAUUUUAAGUCAUCAGAUUAUAAAUAGGCUUUAUUCUGCUUUUUUUUUCUGCAUGAUUUUCAGCAUUUUCCAAAUAAGCAAUUUUUAAGAUAUUUUGAUUAAUAGAUACUGCUUAUGUGAAGAAUCCUUUCACCAUUUGCACAGAAAAAUGUGGAAACUAUUUCUGGAAUAAAGAUUUGGGAUGACUUCCUCAGAAUUGUUCUCAGAAAUCAAGCCACAUUUUAUUUAUCAACUUCUGUAUGCCAGGCACUGUGCUACUUUCACAUAUUAUUAUUUACUUCUCACAACUGUCUCAGGAGGCAUUUUUGUCUUGAACAUGAAGGAAAUGGAGGUUCAGUUCAGAAAUCUUGGAUUCUUGUUUGGUGACAUCAAAGAUUUAAAACCCAAACUCAGUCCAGUUACAGAAACCACACAGUAUAUGCUUCUAUUUAUAUGCAAUGUCCAGAACAGAGUCAAGGAAGUAUGUUUGUGAUUGUCUGGGGCUGUGUGUGUGUGUGUUUGUGUUUCUGUCAGAGGUGAGUGUGGUGGAGGAAUGAAUAGUAUCUGUUAAUGGGUUUGGAUUCCUGUAUCUAUGACACUACAAAGUUUGAUGAAUUGUUCACUACAAAAAGCUGAAUUUUACAAUAUAUAGAUUAUAUAAUUUAUUUUUUAUUAACGUGUAGUUGAUUUACAGUGUGCCAGUUUCCACUGUACAGUAUAGUGACCCAGUCAUAUAUAUAAGGAUAUAUAUACUUUUUUCCCUCAUACUAUAUUCCCUCAUGUUCUAUCACAAGCAAUGAAGUUAUUUAAAAGAAAAAAAUCAACAACAAACCCAAGAUCUCUAUUGUAUAAGCCUCAAGGGCAAUUUUAAUAGUCUAACAAACUUCAUGUUAUUUCUUUAUCCAAAGAAUUCAGAAAGAUUCCAGGAAAUGCUUAAAGGCAAUACAGUCUACCUAUAAGAAGUAUUUCUUGUGGGAUUAUCUAUUUCUCUUGGAAAAGGAUCAUGGCACAGCCUAAAAAUAUAAUGAGAAAUUGGAAUAUUUUGAGUGCAGAAAGGCCAGGCAAGAGGUGUCAAGUCAAUACAUCUUGCAUCUAGCACAGGACUAACAUGUAAUGCCCACUCAACAAAUAUUCAUGCCAUUGAAAGUAUAUUGGUGACAUUCAGUGAACAUGGUCUUUUCCCCAGAAGAAAAACCCUUUUAUAGAAAGCAUGGCUUGUUUUCCUGAGAUAGUCUGAAAGAGGCAUAUUACCUAUUUGUGUUUCUAACCCACUCAUUUCUGUUCCAGAUACAUUACUGGAAUCUUUUUUUGUCAUUAUUGUUUAAUUACCAUGGAACCUCUAAUCCAGGCCAGAAAUUCCUCACUGCCCACAUUUCUUUCUACUUCAGAAUGCGUAUCUAAUAGCAACCAAUUACUUUUCCUAUUUUCUCACUUGGAAUCUGUUUGGUGAGCUGGGAAUUGCUAUCUAACAAAAUCGGGAACAUCUGUGCUGAGGGGCAGCCUAGUGGGAAGAGUUAGCUGGCUAGACAGAUUUCCUGAAUGGUAAUAUUCUUUUCCCCUGCAGGGAUUGAUCUUGGGACAGUUACUUGUAAGGCCUCCUCUGACUUUUUGAAUAUCUCUCUAUCCCUUCCUUCCCAUCCUUUUUCUCCAAGUGGGAAAAAAAGAGUUUUGUGUUUAAGAGGUCAAGUGACUUAAAGGAACCAUUCCAGCCUUCUGAAAAGUUUCCGUUUCAAACACAUAAAAAAUACUUCCAAAGGAACAACCUCAACUCUUCUUUGCUUCCAGGCUUGGUGCCUGAACACUGUGCUUUUUCACAUUUGGCUCUAACAGAGCUGAUGCUGGAGCUUUAGAAGAUUAGAAACCACAUUAAUUCUUAUACUCAUCCUUAAACUACAUGGCUAUCAGUCUUCUAUCAUAUUCAGAAACACAAUUUUGUGCUUGGAAAAGAUAUCCUAGAUGGAAUGGUGUUGGAUGAUUUUAAGAAAACAGGAGAAAGGUAAUGAACUUUUAAACCUUUGAAAUGUAUUACAUUUUUUGUAGUCUUUUCAUUUAUAUAUAUAUAUACCUAUUUGUGUAUAUAUAUAUAUUCUGUGUUCUUUGUAUUACAUUUUUUGUAGUCUUUUCAUUUAUAUAUAUAUAUACCUAUUUGUGUAUAUAUAUAUAUUCUGUGUUCUUUGACUCAACUGGUACCUUGAUACAUCUACAAUUUUCAGAAAAGACAAGUUCAAGGGUGAGAAAGAUGGGGGAAAUUCAUUUUUUGAUAUUGAGCAGCCUCUCUGCUAUUUGGGCGGACAACAAAGGUAUCAUGAUCUGGUUUAGAGAGCUGCUGAUAAAUUAUUCAUACCUCUAAUGAUGACUCUGGAUCUUCUCAGGGAAUGAUGACUUUGUUUUCUCUGUAAAAGAUGAAACCACUUUUGUAGACAUUGCUAGCACACCUGCAUGCUUGAGGCAAUCAGGUGUGAUAUAUUCCUGACACACAUCCCUUUCCUCCCAUUUUCCAGGUUAUGAUUUUAAAAUAGAAACCUCUGGAUAUCUGGCCUUCUUUUGUAUGAUAGACAUAAUUUCUUAAAUGAAUUCACCAGGUUGAGGGAGAGGGAAGUCACUUAGCGUAAGCUACUUAUGAUUAAGGAUCUGACAUCUUUGCUCACAUUAAUAUCUAAAUUGCCAGCUGCAGGUGCACAUGCCUUUGAAACAGUAGAAAUGUUAGAAGUUUAGGUAAUAUUAAUGAGAAGACAAAGCUAUUGAGGUGAAACUUCAUGAAUAGUCUUCAUUGAGAGUUUACUCAGUGCUAAGUACAUGGGGGGCACAUUAUCUCAUUUAAUCCUUAUAACCAUCUUAUUUUGCUAGCAAGGAAACUGAGUCUAAAUAGGUUAGGUUUUGGAGUUCCCGUCGUGGCGCAGUGGUUAACGAAUCCGACUAGGAACCAUGAGGUUGCGGGUUGGGUCCCUGCCCUUGCUCAGUGGGUUGAUGAUCUGGCAUUGCCCUGAGCUGUGGUGUAAGUUGCAGACGCGGCUUGGAUCCCACGUUGCUGUGGCUCUGGCGUAGGCCGGAGGCUACAGCUCCAAUCUGACCCUUAGCCUGGGAACCUCCAUAUGC
RNAcentral lists this long non-coding RNA (4432 nucleotides) under Sus scrofa (pig). Its description in RNAcentral is "lncRNA (ENSSSCG00065012803.1)". The record is from RNAcentral. Lineage: Eukaryota; Metazoa; Chordata; Mammalia; Artiodactyla; Suidae.